Molecule: ribosomal RNA, 435 nt
Filed under: Acanthamoeba sp. OSU 04-023
Lineage: Eukaryota; Discosea; Longamoebia; Acanthamoebidae
Description: SSU rRNA
Rfam family: Eukaryotic small subunit ribosomal RNA
Source: RNAcentral
GGCCCAGAUCGUUUACCGUGAAAAAAUUAGAGUGUUCAAAGCAGGCAGAUUCAACUUUCUGCCACCGAAUACAUUAGCAUGGGAUAAUGGAAUAGGACCCUGUCCUCCUAUUUUCAGUUGGUUUUUGAGGACCAGGGUAAUGAUUAAUAGGGAUAGUUGGGGGCAUUAAUAUUUAAUUGUCAGAGGUGAAAUUCUUGGAUUUAUGAAAGAUUAACUUCUGCGAAAGCAUCUGCCAAGGAUGUUUUCAUUAAUCAAGAACGAAAGUUAGGGGAUCGAAGACGAUCAGAUACCGUCGUAGUCUUAACCAUAAACGAUGCCGACCAGCGAUUAGGAGACGUUGAAUACAAAACACCACCAUCAGACGGGGCGAGCCCAUCUCCACGCGAGUGGGGGUGGGUCCGUUUCUCUGGUGGCCCGGUGAAUGACUCCCCUAGC